GCCGGACGCGGUGGCGCGCGCCUGUAGUCCCAGCUACUCGGGAGGCUGAGAUGGGAGGAUCGCUUGAGCCCAGGAGUUCUGGGCUGUAGUGCGCUAUGCCGAUCGGGUGUCCGCACUAAGUUCGGCAUCAAUAUGGUGACCUCCCGGGAGCGGGGGACCACCAGGUUGCCUAAGGAGGGGUGAACCGGCCCAGGUCGGAAACGGAGCAGGUCAAAACUCCCGUGCUGAUCAGUAGUGGGAUCGCACCUGUGAAUAGCCACUGCACUCCAGCCUGGGCAACAUAGCGAGACCCCGUCUCU
RNAcentral lists this signal recognition particle RNA (299 nucleotides) under Microcebus murinus (gray mouse lemur). RNAcentral's name for it is "Metazoan signal recognition particle RNA (ENSMICG00000041699.1)". It matches the Rfam family "Metazoan signal recognition particle RNA". From Rfam's summary of the family: The signal recognition particle (SRP) is a universally conserved ribonucleoprotein. It is involved in the co-translational targeting of proteins to membranes. The eukaryotic SRP consists of a 300-nucleotide 7S RNA and six proteins: SRPs 72, 68, 54, 19, 14, and 9. Lineage: Eukaryota; Metazoa; Chordata; Mammalia; Primates; Cheirogaleidae. The record is from RNAcentral.